Molecule: ribosomal RNA, 501 nt
Filed under: uncultured bacterium
Lineage: Bacteria
Description: partial 16S ribosomal RNA
Rfam family: Bacterial small subunit ribosomal RNA
Source: RNAcentral
AUUGAACGCUGGCGGCAUGCCUUACACAUGCAAGUCGAACGGCAGCACGGGUGCUUGCACCUGGUGGCGAGUGGCGAACGGGUGAGUAAUAUAUCGGAACGUACCUUAUUGUGGGGGAUAACGCAGCGAAAGCUGUGCUAAUACCGCAUAAUCCCUAAGGGGGAAAGCGGGGGACCGUAAGGCCUCGCGCAAUUAGAGCGGCCGAUACCUGAUUGGCUAGUUGGUGAGGUAAAGGCUCACCAAGGCAACGAUCAGUAGCUGGUCUGAGAGGACGAUCAGCCACACUGGGACUGAGACACGGCCCAGACUCCUACGGGAGGCAGCAGUGGGGAAUUUUGGACAAUGGGGGCAACCCUGAUCCAGCAAUGCCGCGUGAGUGAAGAAGGCCUUCGGGUUGUAAAGCUCUUUUGUCAGGGAAGAAACAGCAGCUCUAACACAGUUUGCGAAUGACGGUACCUGAAGAAUAAGCACCGGCUAACUACGUACCAGCCGCCGCGGUAA